Molecule: ribosomal RNA, 640 nt
Filed under: uncultured bacterium
Lineage: Bacteria
Description: bacterial SSU rRNA
Rfam family: Bacterial small subunit ribosomal RNA
Source: RNAcentral
GAAAGAUUCAUCGGAAGAGGAUGGGCAUGCGGCGCAUUAGCUAGGCGGCGGGGUAACGGCCCACCGUGGCGACGAUGCGUAGGGGUUCUGAGAGGAAGGUCCCCCACACUGGUACUGAGACACGGACCAGACUCCUACGGGAGGCAGCAGUGAGGAAUAUUGGUCAAUGGGAGAGAUCCUGAACCAGCCAAGCCGCGUGAGGGAAGACGGCCCUAUGGGUUGUAAACCUCUUUUGUCGGAGAACAAAACCCGGGACGUGUCCCGGACUGCGUGUAUCCGAAGAAAAAGCAUCGGCUAACUCCGUGCCAGCAGCCGCGGUAAUACGGAGGGUGCGAGCGUUAUCCGGAUUUAUUGGGUUUAAAGGGUGCGUAGGCGGUCCGUUAAGUCAGCGGUAAAAUUGCGGGGCUCAACCCCGUCGAGCCGUUGAAACUGGCAGACUUGAGUUGGCGAGAAGUACGCGGAAUGCGCGGUGUAGCGGUGAAAUGCAUAGAUAUCGCGCAGAACUCCGAUUGCGAAGGCAGCGUACCGGCGCCAGACUGACGCUGAGGCACGAAAGCGUGGGGAUCGAACAGGAUUAGAUACCCUGGUAGUCCACGCAGUAAACGAUGAAUGCUGGUUGUCCGGGUCGAAUGAGACCUGG